RNAcentral lists this ribosomal RNA (448 nucleotides) under Streptococcus mitis. Its description in RNAcentral is "bacterial SSU rRNA". It matches the Rfam family "Bacterial small subunit ribosomal RNA", at positions 28 to 465 of the family's 1533-position model. The record is from RNAcentral. Lineage: Bacteria; Bacillati; Bacillota; Bacilli; Lactobacillales; Streptococcaceae.
GACGAACGCGGCGGCGUGCCUAAUACAUGCAAGUAGAACGCUGAAGAGAGGAGCUUGCUCUUCUUGGAUGAGUUGCGAACGGGUGAGUAACGCGUAGGUAACCUGCCUGGUAGCGGGGGAUAACUAUUGGAAACGAUAGCUAAUACCGCAUAAUAGCAGUUAUUGCAUGAUAACUGUUUGAAAGGUGCAAAUGCAUCACUACCAGAUGGACCUGCGUUGUAUUAGCUAGUUGGUGAGGUAACGGCUCACCAAGGCAACGAUACAUAGCCGACCUGAGAGGGUGAUCGGCCACACUGGGACUGAGACACGGCCCAGACUCCUACGGGAGGCAGCAGUAGGGAAUCUUCGGCAAUGGACGGAAGUCUGACCGAGCAACGCCGCGUGAGUGAAGAAGGUUUUCGGAUCGUAAAGCUCUGUUGUAAGAGAAGAAACGAGUUGAGAGUGGAAA